UGGAUGACAUUUCACCUGUGGCAUUUUAUCUCAUAAGCCACGUGAUGGUUCGUGUAUAUUUGUUACAUUGCUGUCUAUACUUUUUUGUAUUCCUGAAAAGGCCUGGUGAGUCUUGGACCUGAUGUAUCUGCAUGUCUGAUGUAUCAUGGUGAAAGAGGAUUCUGGAGAGCUGCUGGAGAGAAACCACUGAUGGCCAUGAGGGAACAGUGUUUUGAGUGACAGCAGACCACCCGUUAGUUACAG
Molecule: long non-coding RNA, 243 nt
Filed under: Bos taurus (domestic cattle)
Lineage: Eukaryota; Metazoa; Chordata; Mammalia; Artiodactyla; Bovidae
Description: long non-coding RNA NONBTAT016390
Source: RNAcentral